AGGUGCGAUCAUACCAUCACUAAUUCACUGCAUCCCAUCAGAACUCCACAGUGAAGCAUGCUUGGGUGAGAGUAGUACUAGGAUGGGUGACCUCCUGGGAAGUCCUCGUGUUGCACCUC
RNAcentral lists this ribosomal RNA (119 nucleotides) under Lupinus angustifolius (narrow-leaved blue lupine). The record is from RNAcentral. Lineage: Eukaryota; Viridiplantae; Streptophyta; Magnoliopsida; Fabales; Fabaceae.